This 253-nucleotide ribosomal RNA is filed under the name uncultured Adhaeribacter sp. Its description in RNAcentral is "partial 16S ribosomal RNA". It matches the Rfam family "Bacterial small subunit ribosomal RNA", at positions 524 to 776 of the family's 1533-position model. The record is from RNAcentral. Lineage: Bacteria; Pseudomonadati; Bacteroidota; Cytophagia; Cytophagales; Hymenobacteraceae.
UACGGAGGGUGCAAGCGUUGUCCGGAUUUAUUGGGUUUAAAGGGUGCGUAGGCGGCUUGAUAAGUCCGUGGUGAAAGCCAACAGCUCAACUGUUGAACUGCCAUGGAUACUGUCGGGCUUGAGUACAGACGAGGUAGGCGGAAUUGAUGGUGUAGCGGUGAAAUGCAUAGAUACCAUCAAGAACACCGAUUGCGAAGGCAGCUUACUAGGCUGUAACUGACGCUGAGGCACGAAAGCGUGGGGAGCGAACAGG